Molecule: non-coding RNA, 3526 nt
Organism: Pelobates cultripes (western spadefoot toad)
Lineage: Eukaryota; Metazoa; Chordata; Amphibia; Anura; Pelobatidae
Source: the annotation of a GenBank genome assembly
GUUUCUCUAAAAAGAAAGUUUGAAAGAAAAAAAAAUCUGUAUUUUUUUAUAAUAUAGACCUUAAGUGGCUUUUACAGCACACUGUAUGAAAGUCAGGUUUGUGUGAACUUUAAACCUGUGUGUUAACUGCAUAGAAAAUAUAAACCGAUAACAGGAAAUGGUACACAUUUUAAAAUGUUAUUAUAUCCAACUUUAUUUUUUUUCCAGGGGUUUAUAAUUUGUCUUUAAGUAGAUAGGAAGUAAAACAAUGUAAGCAACAGGAAAGUCGUUUCCUUUAUAUAAAUAACCAUGGAUAUAAUUUCACCUUAAAUCAUAAACAAAUAGGAAACACCUGAUUGGUAUGUAUAAUUUCACAUAUAGGAGUGCACAAACAGAUUACAUAGCAGACAUUAGGUACGUAAACGAGCAAAUAUAGGGUAGAUAUUAUUAUUAGAAUGGAUUCAUAGUUUAUAAAAUAUUUUACAUACAUUGUUCUCUCUCGUUUUCAUAUUUGUCCUGUGGAACACAUAUAAUUACAAUGUUACAUAUACAGUAGAAGAACUACACCGUACAAUUCUAGAUACAUGGUUAAAGGGUCACUAUAGAACUAUAGUCACUAAAACAAACAUGUAUUCCUGACCCUAUAGUGUUAACACCACAAUCUAGCCCCUCUGGGCCCCUCAUGCCUCCAUAAAUAUUGUAAAAAUCUUACUGUAUUCAAGGCUGAAGCUGUAAAUCUGCAUGCUGUUAGACUCAGAAAAACAAUCAGUCUGCUGACAUGUGAUAGCCUGAUCCAAUCACAAUGCUUCCCCAUAGGAUUGGCUGAGACUGACAAAGAGGCAGAUCAGGGGCAGAGCCAACAUGAUUCAAACACAGCCCUGGCCAAUCAGCAUCUCCUCAUAGAGAUGAAUUGAAUUAAUGUAUCUCUAUGAGGAAAGUUCAGUGUCUGCAUGCGGAGGGAGGAGAUACUGAAUCACAGGAUGCUGUGCGCAGUGCUGCCCUGUGCUCUGCUGACAGCAGAUCUGAGUGGAUGGAGGCAUAUUAUGCCUCCAUCAACUCAGAAGUCCCUCUGGUGGUUGACUGAGGGAAGACUUAGAGCUGCAAUGUAAACAUUGCAGUUACUCUGGAACUGCAAUGUUUACAUUGCAGCAGUAAGUGCAAAAGGGUCACAGCACCCUGACUACUUCAAUUAGCUGACGUGGUCUGGGUGCCUACAGUGUCCCUUUAAGUAAUAUAUAGCAGAGACUGGGUGUAUAAUUUAGUGUUCUCUACAUACUAUAAUAACUGUAUAAGUUAUACAGAUGUUGCAUUAUAAUAUUCUAGAUGUGAGAAGAUGGCUGUUCUGUUGAGACAAUGAAAGGCUGAGCCAGGUAUAUUGGGCAUAGGCAUAGCACAUGCGACCCUGAGGUGUGAACAACUGCUGCAGUCUGUGUAUUAACGAACUACGUGAGCAGUCUUGUUGCCACCAAGUUGUAUAUCGAAAAAUCGGUUAAAGCAGCACUGUUGGAGAUUUUGCAUAGUUUGCAAAGACUCCCAAUGGUGGCAUUGCUGCUGGGGGGUAAGUGAGUUCUACUUACCUGAACCUGUUGACGCCCUUCUCUUCCGGACAGCCCUCUGCUGCAGCUUCACCUCCAUAGACCGAGCCAAUUCCAUGAAGCCAUCGCUGGUGCCCCCUACUGCCUCUACAGCCUGCCUCCUCUCCUUUCUAUAUCUCGUCCUCCUCUCUUCUCUCUAUAUAUAUGGCUUUGUUGCCAGUCACGCCCCUCCGUUUCCUAUACACCCUACCCAGCACUAACUGUGCCAGGGAGGGAGUUUACAUAGCAGCCACAGCGCAUCUAUUUUUGGAUGAUUAGUACUUUUUCAAAUAACUUUUCAUUUAAAAACAUUUAUAUAUAAUGUUUCCUUUUUAUGAAAGGGAUCCACAACAGACAAGGAUAGAGAACCCCCUGCGAAAAGCAAAUCCAUCCAUAUUUUAAUGCAGUAUAUUGAGGAUAUUAAAGGGAAAUAAGCCACUUUCUGUGCGGAAGGGAGGGGAUAGAUUUACAACGAAAAACUAGUUAAUACUAACUCUAACACCAAAACAGAUUGACAAAUAAAAACCCUCUGCUGAUUAGCUAAAUAUAACCUGAGCCAGUAUACCCCCUUUUAAAGGGUAAUCAUUGAUAUAAUUUCUAAAAACAAUAUUGCCCAAGUUUAGAAAAAAAAAACAACAACACGCAAAACUCUAACCCUGCAAACCCAUUCACUGCAACAGAAUAUCUCCUCCAACACCAAUCCAGGUUCUCUCAAUUCUGGUCAAUAGCUACUGAUUUUAUCCCAUAAUCUCCCACACAAGCAGAGUUUUGAGAUAAGUAAUUUAUGUCCAACGAGCAGUUCCAAUUAUCACAGGGUGAUGGGAAAUGCUCAAUGAAUCGGUAACAGUUAUUGACAGUUUAAUGAAUUGGGCUGUUAAUGUUAAUGUUUUAGAGAGUGGAGGAUUGCACAUGCAUGGCCUGGGACUCCGCUCCAAAUAAACAUGCAACGUAUACAUAUUGCAAACACAAUAGGAUCAAAAUUAGCACAGGCAACCGAGCAAAGUAUUCUGGGCUGCCUUACUAACCGGCCUUGUUGUUUAUAAGCCAUUAUUAAACACGUAGUGUGGACUCCAGGUACCAUGUACUUUGCAGUAAUGCCAAAUGCUUAUACUGACCCAUUUAUACCCUCCCCUCAUAGUAUGUCUGGAACCUAACCAGUGUCCUUUUAAGAUGACCAUAUUUUUCAGAAUGCGCGCUUGGCAAUGGUUUCAGAGAGCGGCCUUUUCAAUGUUGUCGUGAAAUCUCCAAUUAUAAUCUGUGAUAAGGAAGCUAAAUGUUUGUGCUGUACUCCAAGGAAGCCUAAACAAUAAAGCUUUCAUAUUCGCUGGCACGAAGCAUCACAUGAUGUACCCAGUGGAUGCCGUUACUUUAACCAUUUAUGGGACGAGGUUUAGCAUUUAUCAUUCUAAAAGUAACUUUAAUUGAAGGUAUGAAUUUACUGUACUCAUGGUCUUUAUCAAUUACAUAUUACUGGAUUUAAAGGACCACUUCACACUUACUCAUAAAGUCACUAUUUAGAAAACAUACCCCAAAGAAUACAUGCAUGCAUUUUUCCUCUAUAUCUGUCCCUGGUGUGCAUGUAUUGCCUGUCUGAGAGGCAUGCGCAUGAGACAAGCACACCUGACUAAAGAGCGCCUGCCGUUUCCAUUAGCUCAAGGGAGGUAACGGAUGCAGGUAGCAAACCAUCCAGGCUGUUUGACAGCCUGGGGGUGUUUAUUAUUUAAUGAUAAAAAUGCCUUUUCAAUGGGAUACCCUUCAACCAUAAACUCCUUCAGCAAGCUGGUCAUUUUAAUGUUUCCACAUCUGUUUGUGUGCUUGUGGGCAGGUUUGUCAUACAUUUGCACUCAACGCACAUUACUGUGAGUUUUAUUGCUUUGGAGCUCUGGGAUAUAGCCAUACGCACAGCACAUUGUGAGUCUUAUUGCUGUGGAGCUCUGUGAUAAUCAUAAUAGUCAUAAUAAUAGCAUAAUAUU